GCCUGGAGUAGUGGCGCAUGCCUGUAAUCCUAGUAGCUCAGGAGGCUGAGACAGGAGGAUCAAGAGUUCAGUGUCAGCCUUAGCAAAAAUGAGGUGCUAAGCAAUUAAUUAAGACCCUGUCUCUA
This 125-nucleotide small RNA is filed under the name Marmota monax (woodchuck). The record is from RNAcentral. Lineage: Eukaryota; Metazoa; Chordata; Mammalia; Rodentia; Sciuridae.